RNAcentral lists this ribosomal RNA (497 nucleotides) under uncultured bacterium. RNAcentral's name for it is "partial 16S ribosomal RNA". It matches the Rfam family "Bacterial small subunit ribosomal RNA", at positions 28 to 507 of the family's 1533-position model. The record is from RNAcentral.
GAUGAACGCUGGCGGCGUGCCUAAUACAUGCAAGUCGAGCGAACAGACGAGGAGCUUGCUCCUCUGACGUUAGCGGCGGACGGGUGAGUAACACGUGGAUAACCUACCUAUAAGACUGGGAUAACUUCGGGAAACCGGAGCUAAUACCGGAUAAUAUAUUUAACCGCAUGGUUCAAUAGUGAAAGACGGUUUUGCUGUCACUUAUAGAUGGAUCCGCGCCGCAUUAGCUAGUUGGUAAGGUAACGGCUUACCAAGGCAACAAUGCGUAGCCGACCUGAGAGGGUGAUCGGCCACACUGGAACUGAGACACGGUCAAGACUCCUACGGGAGGCAGCAGUAGGGAAUCUUCCGCAAUGGGCGAAAGCCUGACGGAGCAACGCCGCGUGAGUGAUGAAGGUCUUCGGAUCGUAAAACUCUGUUAUUAGGGAAGAACAAAUGUGUAAGUAACUAUGCACGUCUUGACGGUACCUAAUCAGAAAGCCACGGCUAACUACGUG